Molecule: ribosomal RNA, 275 nt
Filed under: uncultured bacterium
Lineage: Bacteria
Description: partial 16S ribosomal RNA
Rfam family: Bacterial small subunit ribosomal RNA
Source: RNAcentral
GCGUGGGUGAAGAAGGCCUUAGGGUUGUAAAGCCCUUUCAGUCGUGACGAUGAUGACGGUAGCGACAGAAGAAGCCCCGGCUAACUCCGUGCCAGCAGCCGCGGUAAUACGGAGGGGGCAAGCGUUGUUCGGAUUUACUGGGCGUAAAGGGCGCGUAGGCGGACGAUCAAGUCAGAGGUGAAAGGCCCGGGCUCAACCUGGGACGUGCCUUUGAAACUGGUUGUCUUGAGUGCGGGAGAGGGUGACGGAAUUCCCAGUGUAGAGGUGAAAUUCGU